UAACAAGGAUUCCCCUAGUAACUGCGAGUGAAGCGGGAAAAGCUCAAAUUUAAAAUCUGGCAGCUUUGGCUGUCCGAGUUGUAAUCUGGAGAAGCGUCUUCCGCGCUGGACCGUGUACAAGUCUCCUGGAACGGAGCGUCAUAGAGGGUGAGAAUCCCGUCUUUGACAUGGACUACCAGUGCUUUGUGAUGCGCUCUCAAAGAGUCGAGUUGUUUGGGAAUGCAGCUCAAAAUGGGUGGUGAACUCCAUCUAAAGCUAAAUAUUGGCGAGAGACCGAUAGCGAACAAGUACCGUGAGGGAAAGAUGAAAAGCACUUUGGAAAGAGAGUUAAACAGUACGUGAAAUUGCUGAAAGGGAAACGCUUGAAGUCAGUCGCGUUUGCUAGGACUCAGCCUUGCCUCGGCAUGGUGCACUUCCUAGUAAACGGGCCAGCAUCACUUUUGGCUGCGGGAAAAGGAUCAGAGGAAUGUGGCACCUUCGGGUGUGUUAUAGCCUCUGGUUGUAUACCGUGGCUGGGAGUGAGGAUCUCAGCACGCCUUACGGCGGGGCUUCGGCCACCUUCGUGCUUAGGAUGCUGGCGU
This 581-nucleotide ribosomal RNA is filed under the name Phanerochaete sp. 1 KUC8370. Its description in RNAcentral is "eukaryotic LSU rRNA". It matches the Rfam family "Eukaryotic large subunit ribosomal RNA", at positions 66 to 632 of the family's 3401-position model. The record is from RNAcentral. Lineage: Eukaryota; Fungi; Basidiomycota; Agaricomycetes; Polyporales; Phanerochaetaceae.